Molecule: microRNA, 22 nt
Filed under: Dasypus novemcinctus (nine-banded armadillo)
Lineage: Eukaryota; Metazoa; Chordata; Mammalia; Cingulata; Dasypodidae
Source: RNAcentral
GAAAAUAUGGGUGCACUUCUAU